UGCCCUCCAGCCUGUCGCAGGCUGCACAGUGGGGCGCCUCCUCCUCUCGCUUUUGGACUCCAGCCAGGCAGAUUGGGGCUUCAGCCUUGUUCUCCACUACAGCAGAGAACAGCCUGAGGGCUACUGUUGGGCUCCUGGAGUCUCCCACCUGACUGCCAGAGUCCCCACUGCCUCUCCAUGAUCUCACAAGGCAGCAGUGUAAAAGGCUGCCAUGCUUUAAUACCCCCCAGCCUGGAGAGGGGGUCCCAUAUCCCUGACCACCCCUCUUUAGUAUGCCUACUUAGCAAAAUGUGGCUUCUUUCUCACUUUCUCUAUUGUAAUUUGACUCCCAGUACAGAGCAGGAGUUAGGACCCUCCAGGACUUGUGGGAGUCCUUUUGAAAGAAUGGCCCCCACGAACUCAAUUACACAGUGACUGGAGACACCUGUGGUCCUCAGGCAGCGGGCCUCUCCUUUUCUCUGCCUUUGCUCUCCGCGCCUUAGAAGUACCCUAUGGACCUCUGUGUUUGGCAUCGCAGAUCUCCCCAGAACCCUUUCAGUCAGACAGGGAUGGCACAGAAGUUGGAGCAAGGAAUGAGAAUCAUCCUCUGUGGGCAAGGUUGGCUUGGGAAUCACUCAUCCCAUGCCGCUUGACACUCUCGGGGACCAAAUGCACGAAGCAUGACAGACCUAGCUAGAUCCUCGUGGACAGGCUGGGCAGGCAUUUCGUGGUUGUGACCUCAACCUUUGUUCUUUCUAGAUGACAGGACUAACCACUGACCUUCAAAAGACUGCUUCUAGAAGGUUCCUAUUUUCCUGUCCUUCCAUCCAAAGAACCCACAAGCCAUUUUUCUCCCCCAAAUCAUUUUCUAAGGAGUCCAAAACACAACACCGCCUCAAGAGCUAUUCCACAUUCUCUGUCAGCCCGGAACUGCCUUAGACCUUUGCAUGUUCCCUGACAGCAGCCUGCCUACCUGAGUUGCAAGCCAGCCAGCAUGAACAGAUCCAGUUGGAUUAGUUCAGUCAAUAAGGGUGUUGUCAUACUCCUCCCAAUGUCCACAGAGUCCACAAUGAUUAAAUAAAGGCAAGCCAGGAAGCACACCAAGGACAGAGGUGGACACGUGCCAGCCAACACAGGAAUACAGGGCCUGUAUCUGUUCAUCUCAAGCAUCCAGUGGCUGUUUGUGAGGCGCUUGGUAACACGCCUCUGGGAGCACCGGGUGAGUGUGCACUGACCAGUUUUUCUUUAAUUUUUGCAUGUGUCUGUUUGUGUGUUGUACACGUGCAUACAGAUGCUUGAAUGUGUGUAAGUCCACAUAUGUGUACACGCCUGAGGGGGCAUGACAUCAGGUGUCCUCUUUGAUAAUCUUCCACUUUGUUUAGUAAAGCAGGGCCUCUCAUUAUACCAAGGGCUCACCAAUCCUGCUGGUCUAGCUCUACAGCUUUGCCCUCAUAUCAUCUAUCUCUGCCUUAUGAGUGCUGGGAUUACAGGUGGGUGUGCUUGCCUGUAUCCCAUGGGUUCUGGGACUACAAGUGGGUGUCCAUGCCUGUGUCCCACAGGUGCUAUAACUAUGGAUGUGUUUCUAUACCUGUUUGGUUCACACAUGUGCGUGUAUAUGUGUGUGUGAUUGCAACUCUAGUUCCCACUUUUGUGUGUUGAGUGCUUCAUUUAGAGUCAGCUCCUCAGCCCUAUGCUCAACAUAUUGUUCUAUUCCCAAGGCCUGCCUUUCUAUCUAGCCACCAUUUCUCUCAACAACUAUCAUUCAGACAUGUAGAAAGGACUCUGCAGUAAAAGUCAUCUCACACCUUCCAUGGACCGAUUCCUACUAGAUCUGAUGUAUCUUCAUCGGUGAAUAGCCAAGGAGUCAGGGCACUUUUCUGUCAGUAAGUUUGUCUUCUUCAUACUUCAGUAUGAUGAGUUUUGUAGUUUGAUACAUCUCAUCCUGGAUUCGGCAGAUUAUAAACGUAACCGAGUGACAUAAAGCAGCAAAUGGGGAGAUCACUGGACAACGUGGCAGAUGCCUCCAUUUAUAAAGACAUGAGGUAAAACUCAAACUACAUCUUUGAAGCCCAAACCUCAGCACCCGUGGGCUCUGCCUGCCUUGGCACAUGGGAUUAUUUAUUGAACCCUGAAAUGUCCUCCCACCCCCUUACCUACAGGUAGCCAGAUGAGCAAAGGUGAACGACUGCUAUUUGUAAUAAGUAGACACUCUAACCCAGAAGAACAAAUGGCAGUCCUGCUCCUCUGGAGGACAAGUGCUGUCCUGAGUUCCAUGUUGCUAGAAAUGGAUCAGUGGCUUAUUUCCUUUUUACACCAUGGCUGAGGCAGGAGAUAUCAGGAAGUCAUAACAUCCUACUUUACUACCAGGUUACCUCUAGGGGAAAAGACACCAUUGGCUUUGCUCCCUCUUCAUAUAAUGGAGUAAGCCGUGGAGAUGACAAGAGAUAGACUUAGUUAAAAGGAAUCAGGAUGGAACCUCAGAAGAGGGUAUUUGCUUAGUGUCAACAUCUCUGAAUGUGUUUGGCUGAGGAUGGAAUGGCCAUUUGUAUCUUGGAGAGUCACUGAAGGACCUUCCAUAGUGCAUCUCCAAUGUCCCCCCUUCUUCAUAGCUCUCAAUGGGGCAGUAGCUACUCUUGGCUGCUGCACUGUGAGCACAGCCCUCCUAAGGCAAGGCUGACACCCAUCCUCUUCAUGCAUUCAACUUUAAUCUGAUCCAUGAAACCAUGCUGUAAAGGAAGCCUGACUCCAGGCCCCUUUACAGCGCUACUGUUCAUCUAAUGCCCUGGGUGUGCCAUAGCAUUUUACAGAUGUUUUCAGUACAAAGUACUAAGCUUGCUUCAGUCAUAAUUAUGUGUGAAUGCUCUUGUACUCCCUAGGGAAGAAAAUGGCUGUGGUAUUUAAAAUAUCACUCUCUCAAGGUCUAAGAAACCCAGAAUCAUAUUCCGUAUAUUCUACUUCUUCCCCAAAUCUUCUACUCUUCAUUUUUGUGUGGAAAUAAUUAUUACAAUUGGGAUUUUCUUUUUACAGCAAAGUUAAAGUUGGAUGCUGACAAAGUUUUCAGAAAAUUCUAAAAGCUUCCCAAUGUGUAAAGAAUUUGACUUUUAAUGUGUGAUUUUGGAUAAAGGGUACUCUGUGUAAGAUGGUUGCUUUAUUUGAAUGAAAUGGUCGGGCUGUCAUUUGAAAUAAGUGUGGGAUAUUUUCACAGAAGCUUUUACAACUAUGUCUUAGUUAGGGUGUGAAAAGAAGCCAUGACCAUAUCAACUUCUAUAAGGUAAACAUUUAAUUAUGGCUAUCUUAUUGUUUCAAAGAUUUUUUUCCAUUAUCAUCAUGGCAGAAACAUGGCUGCAUAUCAUGGCUGACAGACAUGGUACAGGAGGAGCUAAGAGUUUUACAUAUUGAUCUGAAGACAGCCAAAGAAGAAAUGAGCCACUAGGCCAAGCUUGAGCUUCUGGGACCUCAAAGCUUGCACCCACAGUGACAUAGUAUCUCCAACAAGGUUACACCCCCUAAUAGUGUCACUUGCUAUGGACCAAGCAUUCAACCCUUUGUAAUAUUCUUUCAGGUUUACUUCUUCCAAAUAGGCUAUGUAUCAAAAAAGAAAUGUUUCUUUAGACAGGAUGGUUUUUUUUUUUGACAUAGGUACAAUCUUCAGACAAAUUCUGUCAAUCACUCAGUAAACAUUUGCUGGAUAAGUGAAUUUGCAGCAAGCAUAAUCUGUCACUACCUUUACUUUUUAGGGUGGAAGGAUGAUUGAUGUGAGCGUACAGAUAUUCCCUGAAACAUCUGAGUGAUUUUAGUAUGUAUGCAUUGAACCAAAUAUUACUUAGUCUUUCAAAAAAAUACUAGAAAAGGUUUUGGGCAGAGGAAGCUAAGAAAACUAACAUGUCUGGUCUUAUUUAUGUAGUUACAUCAAAAUGUUACUCUGACCUGAAUUUAAGAUGGAUAAAGAACUAGGCACGUGGUCUUGAAGACGAUUGUUUGGACAAUAAAUAUGUGAUCAAUAAAGAACAAAGGAAGAGUUCGAAGAGUGGAUUGUGUCUUCACAUUGAGAUAUAGUGCCCCUCACCAAAAAUGAGAUAAAAGGAAGCUUCUGGAAAAUCAUGUCUUAGAAUGUGAAAAGAUCAUCAGGAAGCAUGCAGAAGGGGAUGAGCACUGGCCUCCGUGCAGAUGGCAGGUUCUUCUUGUGCAUCCUGGGAUGAUUUGGAAGCAACUACGCAGCCCACAUUGACCUCAAGCUUUUUCUCCUCUUCCUCUGCCUCACAAAUGCUGGGAUUAUAGGUGUGUGCUCCCAUGCUCAGCUAAAGCAAUUAAUUAAAAGCCAAUGUUGUUAACAAUGUUAAA
Long non-coding RNA from Mus musculus (house mouse), 4320 nucleotides. RefSeq annotates it as predicted gene, 35161. The transcript has 4 exons. Lineage: Eukaryota; Metazoa; Chordata; Mammalia; Rodentia; Muridae. The record is from RefSeq and is a predicted model, not a curated record.